AAUUCGAUUGAGUUUGAUCAUGGCUCAGGACGAACGCUGGCGGCGCGCUUAACACAUGCAAGUCGAGCGAGAACCGGGGCUUCGGCCCNGGGGACAGCGGCGAACGGGUGAGUAACACGUGGGUAAUCUGCCCUCGNUUCUGGGAUAGCCCGGGGAAACCCGGAUUAAUACCGGAUAGCCUCCNCUGCUCAUGGNGGNGGAGAAAAGGNAGCUUCGGCCUCCGACCGAGGAGGAGCCUGCGGCGGAUUAGCUUGUUGGCGGGGUAACGGCCCACCAAGGCGACGAUCCGUAGCCGGUCUGAGAGGACGAUCAGCCACACUGGGACUGAGACACGGCCCAGACUCCUACGGGAGGCAGCAGUGGGGAAUCUUGCGCAAUGGGCGAAAGCCUGACGCAGCGACGCCGCGUGAGGGAAGAAGGCCUUCGGGUUGUAAACCUCUUUCAGGAGGGACGAAGCCACUCGGGUUAAUAGC
Molecule: ribosomal RNA, 473 nt
Filed under: uncultured bacterium
Lineage: Bacteria
Description: bacterial SSU rRNA
Rfam family: Bacterial small subunit ribosomal RNA
Source: RNAcentral